AUUGAACGCUGGCGGCAUGCUUUACACAUGCAAGUCGAACGGCCUCUCGGGCGUCGGCCUCGCGGCGAGUGGCGAACGGUUGGGUAAUGCAUCUGAACUUGCCCUAUCUUGGGGGAUAUCCCGCCGAAAGCCGGAUUGAUCCCCCAUACGACCUGAGAUUGCAAGCGGGGGGCCCAGAGGCCUCGCGCUAUUUUAGCGGCCAAUGUCGUAUUAGCUAGUUGGGGGGGUAACGGCUUUACAAGGCGACGAUCCGUAGGUGGUCUGAGAGGACGACCAGACAGAUGGGGAGUGAGAAAGGGCAGAGACAUCUGGGGGAGGAAGCAGUGGGGAAUUUUGGACAAUGGGGGCAAGGGGGAUCUAGCCAUACCGCGGGAGGGAAGAAGGAGUCAGGGUUGGAAAACGAUGUUGGUCGGGAAGAAAUCAUAUGGGCUAAUAGGCGGGGGGGAUGACGGUACCGGAAGAAUAAGCACCGGCUAACUACGUG
RNAcentral lists this ribosomal RNA (484 nucleotides) under uncultured bacterium. RNAcentral's name for it is "partial 16S ribosomal RNA". It matches the Rfam family "Bacterial small subunit ribosomal RNA", at positions 29 to 507 of the family's 1533-position model. The record is from RNAcentral.